CUGCCGCCGCCGCUGCCGCCGCCGCGGCUACAACAUCUGAAAGUCCUUUUCUGCCGCAGAAGGAAGCGGCGCAGUUUGGAAGCCUUGGCAGGCGCCGAGAGCGCCUCUGAACCCGAGCCUGGGAGGGGAGAGAGAGAAGAGGAGACGCAAAGGGGCUGCUCUUUGGCCCCAUUCCCCGACCUUGGAGGAUUCCUCCCCUACGCCCCCCCCCCCAGGCGGCUGCAGUCCCCCCCACUGAGAACGCGACCUCCUCGCCUGGACUCCCGGCUCCGCGGAUUCGGUCUCCCUGACCAGAGCCCUUUCCACCCCACCCUAGCGCUUCCAGUCCCAACCACUGGAGACCUAGUCGAGCGAAGUGGGGAAAGGGCAGCAAGCACCCAACGAGGGACCCAGAAGAGCCUGAUGGCCCUAAGAACCCCUUGUAGAUUUGUGUAGCUGUUAUGACAGUUUUCCAGCAGGUGGCAGACAAGCAUUUCCAGCUACAAGGCAGCCAAGCCAAAGUACAGAUCAGAAACCAUCUUUCAGACUCCCAGGACAGCGAUCUUUCAGUCUCCCAGCAAGUAGGCCCCCUUCCACUUUCUCCAAGUGUAAACUGUCCAGGUGAUAGGAAGAAGAGAGGGUCUGGAAGCUGAACUUGUAGGGACAGAACACAAAAGUUGCAAACUGACGGCACCUACUGGCAACUAUCAAGACUGCAGAAGAUCUGGAGAGUUCUGACGGGGUGGGGGGCAGGAGGGCCCGGGGACAAGAUUCUGGGAUUCUCUCCCUGCUAUCUCACAGACAAACUGGGGUCUUUUCUGUCUUGGAUAAGGGCAAACAGAGCCAGGCUCUUUACGUCCCCGGGGGACGCCCAGCCUGCACCUGAUUCAGAAAACUUCCCCUAGCUCUAUCCCCCUCCAUCAUCACUGAGGCGCCAACGUAUUGUAUGAACUUGGACCCCACCCCUUGGAGCUGGAAUUGUCCCUAACUAUAAAAUGGAGGUACAUCAUCUCCACCUAUUCUGCCUCUUGAAGCGCUUGUGGGAAUAAAAUGGGAACUGAAAGGAUGGGUUCCAACCCCAAAGCCAGACUUGCCCCCUUGACAGCAAACCUGAGAGAGCUAAAGGUGCUGGGACAUGGAGGAAGGAGUUGCAGGAGAGGCUGGACUGAAGCCAAAAGAAGGACCUGGAAGUGAAGCAUGAGUGCAGGUGAGUAUGGGAAAUCCAGAAAGGCUUCCAGGUAAGACAGGUGCCCAGACCCCUAUCCAUCCACUGGUGUUCACCACCCCCACCGCCAAACAUCAGUGUCUGCGAUAAUUCCAAAGAGGCAGGAAAAUAGACAUAAGUAGAUCAUCGAAGCACCUCCCCACCAUUCAUGCAGCACAUAUUUACUGGACACUGUGCACAGGCUUUGUGCUACAUUCGAGGACCCAGAGCUGGCUGAGAUCACUCCCUGCGCACAAGGAGCUCACUGCCUAGUGAGGGGAGACAGGCAUACAAAUAAAACGAGUCUAAGAAGUGUACAGGUGCCCUGGGAGACAUCCACAUGGGGUGCUGUGGGGACCCAGACACACAAGUGGUCAGUUCUACAUCUGGCGCCUGGAAAGGCUUCAUGGAGAAGGUAACUCUUGAGACAACCAUCUUCCAUGCUAGGGGAAAGAGCAUCAGGCCGACCUGGAUUCUAAUCCCUGCUUUGCCACUGGACUUGAAAAAAGUUACUCUGAGCUUCACUGUCCUUACCUGGAAAAUAGGGCUUUGUGAUAAGAAAGAAAGAAGGAUGGGGAGGGGACAGACAGAAACAGAGGCUUGUGCAAAUUGCCCAGCAUACAGUGAGCACCGUGUGUUUGCUUCUUCCUCUCCUUCUUCUGGAGGCAGGGCCUGUGUUUCCCCAGGCAGACUGGAGGUUCUCAGAGGACUGGGUUUAGUGUCUCCCCCCUGCCUCCCACAGCUUGCUGGUGUCUGGGAGAGGCUACAUAAAGGGCAUAGGAUUUGGAGUCAGAGGACCUGGAUUCAAACUGCAGCACAGCCACUGAAGAGCUGUGUGGCCUUGGACACACUUAAGAUCUUGAAGGGUCAUUUUCAUCCUCUUUUUAUUUUAAUGUUUAUUUAUUUUUGACAAAGCACAAACAGGGGAGGGGCAGAGAGAAAGCGGGAGACAGAGAAUCCAAUGCAGGCUCCACACCAUCAGCGCAGAGCCUGAUGUGGGGAUCGAACUCACGAACCAUGAGAUCAUGACCUGAGCCAAAGUCGGGCACUUAACCGACUGAGCCACCCAGGCGCCCCUUAUCCUCUAUUUUAAAAGGAAAGAAAGAAAGAGAGAUAAUUGGGCUUACCCCACAGGAUGGGUUGCAAGAGAAAACGAGAUAAUGGCCAAGAAAGGGCUUUGGAACCUAAGGAGUGGGCGCCCAGGGCUCUACCAGAAAAAGAACCACUGUGGGGCGCCUGGCUGGCUCAGUCAGAAGAGCAUGCGACUCUUGAUCUCAGGGUUGUGAGUUCCAGCCCUACACUGGAUUCUAAAAGAUAAGAUAAACUUUAAAAAAAAAAGAAAGAAAAGAAAAACAACCUAUGCCUCCCCCUCAGCAUCCUUCUCUGUCCCUAAGCUUCUAGACACCCAGGGCACCAGGAAGAUGCUCCUGAUGGAAGAGUGAGAAAAAUUCCCACUCCCUGCCCACUUCUCCCAGCCCAUACCCUUCCUGGCUUGUUGCUUAGAGUCUCAUUAGCUCCCUUGUUAGUUCAGUUGCAAACUUCUACUGGGUUCAGGCUGGCUUCUUCGAGAAUUGAUAGUCCUGCCCUCAGGGAAACCCCAAUCUCAUGGGCUUGUUCUAGAGAGUAUCUGAUGGAGUAGACAAAAUGCAUAUAAUAUGAGGCGCCUGGGUGGCUCAGUUGGUUAAACAUCCAACUCCAUUUCCGCUCAGGUUGUGAUCUCAAGGUCAUUGAGUCCUGAGUGUCUGUGCUGAGCACUGAGCAUGGAUACUUAAGAUUCUCCCCCUCCCUCUUUUUCUGCCCCUCCCCUGCUCGCAUGCAUUCUCUCAUAUUCCCACCCCCCUCCCUCUCUCAAAAAAAAAUUUUUUUAAGUACUCAUAAUAGGGGUGCCUGGGUGACUCAGUUGAUUAGGCAUCUGACUCUUGAUUUCAGCUCAAGUCAUGAUCUCACAGUUUCAUGAGUUCAAGCCCCAUGUUGGGCUCUGCGCUGACAGAAGAUCCCCUGAGGGAGAUUCUCCUUCUCUCUCUGCCCCUCCCCUGCUCACACUCUAUCUUGCUCAAAAAUAAAUAAUAAAUUUUUAAAAAACUUUUUAAAAAAUACACAUAAUAAUGAAAGCUAACACUUAACACGAGCCAUAUGGUUCUAAGUGCUUCACUCAUGUAGUUCACAACAAUCUCAUGAAGUGGGAGUUAUCAUUGUCCCCCUGUUAAGAUAGGGAAGGGAAACUAAAGCACAGAAAGGUAUGUAACAUACUCAAGGUCACACAACAAGCAAGUAGAAAAACAGGGGUCUGACCCCAUGCAGUCUGGCUCCAGAGUCUGUAUGAUUAACUCUCAUGUUUUACAGCCUUCCAAACAGCUGUCAGAAGUACUCUAAACAAUUGCCGAGGGAAAAAGACUAUGGUACAGAGUGCACGAUGGGUGCAGAGAAGGAGAGUGGAAGUGGCAUUGGCAUGGAAAUGGACCCCAGAACUCCCCAGAGCUUUGGCUUCCCAACCCCUCCCUGGCGCCCUGGACUUCCCACUGUGCCUGCCCGGAAUAGGGGGGCUCAACUCCCUUCCAGGUUGGCUGAUGUCCAGACCCCAGGUAGAGCAUCCUCCAGGGGGCGCUGCAGGUGUGGUCUGAGCAAUGGCACAUCAGUACAGCUGCCUCCUUGUGCACCGGGGCCCCAUACUUGGAGAGAACAGAUCAGGAGAGCUAGGAUCUCCAUAGAGACCCCAUAGUACAGAGGGAAGUCUGGUUCAGAGGCUAGAGCCUCGGUCCUUCCCUCAGGACACGUAGCUCGAGAAAAGGACACCCAGACGGAGGAUGGGGAGUGGAGAGGAGAGCCCAUCUGCAGUUGAGCUGGCCAGGAUCUGGUUUCAUAUCUCCAGUCCAACCAGCUUGGCCACUUGCCAGCUUUGUGGCCACUUCUCCUUCCUCAGCUUCAGUUUUAUCAUGUGUAAAAUGGGGGAGGGGAACUCCUUGAAUUGUGAGCCCCCUCCCAGCUUGGGCAGUCUAGGAAUCUAGAACCUCUGGAGUCUUUUUGCCUGGUCCCAGGCCCUAUGCCGGCAUGGCUCCCAACCCCCCAGAGUUUGCAGUUUCCAAGCCAACUGACACCCAUGGAAUCACUUUCUCAUUGGUCAGAGAAUGUGUAGGAGACAAGCCAAGUGAAUGCUGUUGAGUCCUAUGAGAGUUCUGUCACUGCCCAGAGAGGUGACGAGGCUCACUCGAGGGCAUACAGCUAGUAAUUAAUAGAGCCAAGACUUAAGCCAAAUAUAUUUACUACCCGCUACAGACAUAGUGCCCCGAGCCAUGCUUUCUCUGUUGCCAGAGCACCACCAGUGAGCUAAGGGCUAAGGACUCAAGGAAGGUUGGGGUAGGAGGAGACAAAGGAGGUACAACCUGGGAGAAUCCAUGCAGAUGAUACUUGCAAAAGUACAGACACAGAGGGGACUCUGGGAGGAGAGUGACACAUGUGAGGAAGGGGAAAUUAUUUGCCCUGCCUCCCCUGACACUUGUUGAGUCAAAGAGCAGGGUAUCUGCCUGCCAGGGUGCCUCUUGGCCUGAUAGAUCAGAAGCCCAGAAUCAGAGCAGACCCCGUGUCCUUCUCCCACAGGACCUCCAGGCCUCUAGGCCCUGCCUCCUACUCCCCCAAGCCUGGGGAACAGAGUGCUACCUUCCUCUUAGAAAACUCCAGAGAGACUCUACCAAGGGGCUGCUGAACCCAGACUGACCCUUCAAACGGGUUCUAGCUUUGAGAGACCCCACAGAGGAGUCCUCAGACUUAGCAAAACCCCAGAAAGAGGCCCUGGGAUCCAGAGAAAUCCCCAAUACCCAUAUUUACAGUCGCUCUUAUUCCCUGGAUGCACACCUCCUCUUUCCACACCAGCACUGGGAGUUCACAAAUAUCCCCAGUCAUGCCUUCUCUAUAUUCCCAGACGUCCCUGCCGGCCCUCUCAUCCCAUGCCAAGGGCCAGAAUCUCCGCACACCCACCUUUAUGCCUCAUCCUUUCUGCCUCCGCACCCCUGUCGACUUCACCCCAACCCUUCCUCUUUGCUUACCCAGAAGAACAUUCUGGCCCAAGGGGCCCCCGAAACUUGGUGGUAACCAGGCAUCCUAACCCCACCGGGAAAAGUGGGGAAGGGGCUUCCAGGAAAGAUGAGUGUAUUGUAAGUGAGGAAGGGGAAAGGGAGCAACUGUGGCCUCCAUUUCCUCAUCUGCAAAAUGGGAAUGAUACCACACAUACCUCAUAGGGUUGUUAUGACAAGCUGUACAGACUGCUUGUUUUUACCUCAUUUAGUAAAUAGAUAUGGAAAAACAUACUGAGAUACCACUCUAUUCCCACCAGAUUGGUGAAAAAAAUUUAAUGUUUAUAUAUUUAUUUUGAGAGAGAGAGCGUGCACACCUCAUGCGCACAGAGAGAGCAGGGGAAAGGCAGAGAGCAAGGAAGAGAGAGAGAAUCCCAAGCAUGCUCUGCCCUCUCAGCACAGAGCCCGACGUGGGACUCUAUCUCACGAACCAUGAGAUCAUAACCUGAGCCGAAAUCAAGAGUUGCAUGCUCAACCGACUGAGUCACCCAAGUGCCCCAGAUCAGUAAGAAUUUUAAAGACUGAGUACCAAGUGUGGAGUUAGGGGACUGUCAUCUAAUAUCAGUAAGAAAACAAAUGUGUACAACCAACAAUUCUACUCUGAGAUAUGUACCCACUAGAAGUGUGUGUGUGUGUGUGUGUGUGUGUGUGUGUAUUCCAAAAUACAUAUAUGAGUGUUCAUAGCAGCAUUAUUCAGAAUAGCCAAACACUGGCAUCAGUAGUAGAAUGGAUAAAUCUAUGGUUGAAUGAACUAUUGCUAUACCAACAACAUAGAUGAAUCACAAAGUGAGCAAGAGAUUACUAUUGUAGGAUUCUAUUUAUAAAGAAUUCAAAAAGAGGCAAAACUAAUCUAUGGUGUUAGAAAUCAGGAUAGGAGUUACUUUUGGGGAGAAUGGUGGAAGUAGUUACUAGAAAGGGCCUCACAGGGUACAGGUGAUGUUUAUUAUUUAGUUACAUGGUGUAUGCACUUUAUGAACAUCCAUUGAGCUAAACAUUUAUUUCUGCACUUUUCUGUAUGUGUGUUGUACUUUAAUUUUUUUAAGAAACAACUUUUUUGUUUGUUUGUUUUUUAAGAGACUGCUGGCUCUCAAGUAGGCUGCUUGGACUGGAUUCUUUUUUUUUUUUUUUUAACAUUUAUUUAUUAUUGAGAGACAGAGAGCAUGACCAGGGGAGGGGCCAAGAGAUGGAGAGACACAGAAUCUGAAGCAGGCUCCAGGCUCUGAGCUGUCAGCACAGAGCCCGACACGGGGCUCGAACUCACAAACCAUGAGAUCAUGACCUGAACCGAAGUCAGACGCUUAACAGACUGAGCCACCCAGGCACCCCUGCCUGGACUGGAUUCUUGGCAGUAGGUUUCGGAUAAGUGAGCACACCUCUCUACGCCUCAGCGUCCUCAUCUUUUGCAUUAAGUGACCCUUAUGUAGGGUGGCUACUGUGAUUAAAUGAGUGAGAAUGUGUAAAAUGCUUACAACAGUGCCAGCUACAUAUUAAGUACCCAGUGAGUGUUGGUCAUUAGCCAUGACCAGCCAAGUGAGUGAGAUUAAGAGCCUGGAGCCAAAAUGCCUGCACUAAAACCUGGAUUUGCCAUUUACUUGCUUUGUGACUUUGGCCAAGUGACAUCCUCCCUCUUAUCCUUAAAUACCCUCAGUUGUAAAGGAGGGCUAAUGGCAGCCCAGUCUGAUAGGGUUGUUUGAGAACCUACAGAAACAUUACACAGAGGCACUUAGCACAGUGCCCAGAGUAAGGCUCAAUACGUGUCAGCUGUUAUUAUUAUUGAUCACCAUGGUAACCUUAUUAACCCAUUUUAUAGAUGGUGUUCCAGGUAGUAAAAAGACUGGCUUAAGGUCACAUGCAACUAAAUGUGAUUUAAACCCAGCUGUGUGAUAAUGGAACCCAGGCUCCUACUGACUUGCCCAUACCACCUCCAGAGGCGCCAUAGCCUUGGAGACGUUUGCCCAAACCCAAAUAGCACCUCUUCCUCCUGCCAGGCUGCCCUCUGCAACUGAAGCUCUUGUCUCCAGUAGCUCCAGCUGUCAGGGUUCUGGGCGACCCAGAGGCUGUUGUGCCUUCCCUGCCUGGCAGGAUCUAGCACCCAUCUGACAAUUCUGGUGCCCUCAUUUGGGGUGCUGGGGAUGUAGCCCAGAGCCUAGAUCUAGCCCCGGCAGUGGGAAGAGAGAAUCUCAGAGAGAAGCCACGUUGGCCCCCAGGGCUUCUGGUUGUCAGCGGCCUCUUCUACUGCAGUCUUUGAUUUUCUUUGUCCUGUGCGAAGUAGGGGUAGUCCUAAAGAUGGCUGAUGAGGACUGGAGACAACUGGAGGGCAAAGGGAUAGGACUGAGGGGGCCCAGAAAGAAGGGCCAACCUGCCUGGAACCCCUAAUCCACAUAGCCCCCACCUUCUCCUCUCCUGAAACCUGGAUCCCUCCCAGCCUCACCCCCUCAGUCCUCCCGGUGUCCAGAGGCUUGAUGCUUGGAGCCAGUAAUCCUCAAGAUCUGUGCAGUCUGUUCCUCACCCCCACCCAGUCUUGAUGAUCUAAAAAGCAGCAGAAGUUGGGCCCCAAGCCAGGGAAAGCCAGACAGCCCGGAAUGGAGAAAAAUUUGGCCUCAGGUUGAAGUACACAGGCUGUGGGGCAGGGAGCUCUGGUCUUGCAGUCAUAAGCCAUGUACUGUGGGCUUGUCACUUCACCACAAUGAUCCUCAAUUUCUUCAUCUGUAAAAUGGGGAUGUCAGUCCCUACUCACUCUGCAGGGCUGCUAAGGAAGAUCAGAUGAGGCUACCUAUAUAAGUGUAAGGACAUAGAUACCUGAAAGCAGGUCACCAAUUAGUGGUGUCAUUAUUGUGACCUUUUUUGAUUCUAAGAUUCUAUGACGCUUUGAAGUAGAAGGAUAGAAAGAAGGGGAAAGGGGCGCCUGGGUGGCGCAGUCGGUUAGGCAUCCGACUUCAGCCAGGUCACGAUCUCGCGGUCCGUGAGUUCGAGCCCCGCGUCGGGCUCUGGGCUGAUGGCUCAGAGCCUGGAGCCUGUUUCCGAUUCUGUGUCUCCCUCUCUCUCUGCCCCUCCCCCGUUCAUGCUCUGUCCCAAAAAUAAAUAAACGUUGGAAAAAAAAUUAAAAAAAAAAAAGAAAGAAAGAAG
This is a long non-coding RNA of Acinonyx jubatus (cheetah), 8376 nucleotides long. RefSeq lists it as uncharacterized. Lineage: Eukaryota; Metazoa; Chordata; Mammalia; Carnivora; Felidae. The record is from RefSeq and is a predicted model, not a curated record. The transcript is spliced from 3 exons.